AUUGAACGCUGGCGGCAGGCCUAACACAUGCAAGUCGAGCGGAUGAAGGGAGCUUGCUCCUGGAUUCAGCGGCGGACGGGUGAGUAAUGCCUAGGAAUCUGCCUGGUAGUGGGGGAUAACGUCCGGAAACGGGCGCUAAUACCGCAUACGUCCUGAGGGAGAAAGUGGGGGAUCUUCGGACCUCACGCUAUCAGAUGAGCCUAGGUCGGAUUAGCUAGUUGGUGGGGUAAAGGCCUACCAAGGCGACGAUCCGUAACUGGUCUGAGAGGAUGAUCAGUCACACUGGAACUGAGACACGGUCCAGACUACUACGGGAGGCAGCAGUGGGGAAUAUUGGACAAUGGGCGAAAGCCUGAUCCAGCCAUGCAGCGUGUGUGAAGAAGGUCUUCGGAUUGUAAAGCACUUUAAGUUGGGAGGAAGGGCAGUAAGUUAAUACCUUGCUGUUUUGACGUUACCAACAGAAUAAGCACCGGCUAACUUCGUG
This 484-nucleotide ribosomal RNA is filed under the name uncultured bacterium. RNAcentral describes it as "partial 16S ribosomal RNA". It matches the Rfam family "Bacterial small subunit ribosomal RNA", at positions 30 to 507 of the family's 1533-position model. The record is from RNAcentral.